Molecule: non-coding RNA, 524 nt
Organism: Heterocephalus glaber (naked mole-rat)
Lineage: Eukaryota; Metazoa; Chordata; Mammalia; Rodentia; Bathyergidae
Source: RefSeq, a predicted model, not a curated record
GAUAGUCAGAUAAGUAGGUAUCCAAGUAAAUUACCAAUUGUGUAACACUAUUAUUGACCAUGAUGGGUUUGCUGUUAUCCUUACAGAGAGUAAGAGAUCUCUUAAAAGGCUUUCUCCUUGAAGUUUUGUGAACAUCCAGGUAGCAUUGAUGAGUCUUGAAAUUUAUAAGUGACAAGAGGAAUUUGCAGGUAUAUAAGUAAGACAAGCUGUGCACCAAAUACAUUACCCACUAUGUAUUUUUCAGAUUCCUGUUAAAGAAUCACAUCAGGCCUACCACUGCUGGUCAACAUGGAACCUUUCUGGUUUCAGUGCAUUACUGGUAUGCAGACAAGUGCUUAUGCAGAAAAAAACUAAAGCACAAGCCAGUUGAUCAGAUUACGUGAGGGUAAAAGAUGUGUCUUUACCUGAUGCCAUGCCCUAAGGAAAUAACAGGUAAACAAGAAGGAAGCAUGUCCCCAGUUGGUUCAUAGUGAUGUGUCCUUCGGUGACACGUCAAGACAUGCCUAUCAACCAGGAAGGUGCUC